AGCGUUAUAGGAUAAAAAAAAUCCGACGUCUUUAGGAGGCGGAGAUGUGUGAACUAAGGCUA
RNAcentral lists this transfer RNA (62 nucleotides) under Halocynthia aurantium. Its description in RNAcentral is "tRNA-Leu". Lineage: Eukaryota; Metazoa; Chordata; Ascidiacea; Stolidobranchia; Pyuridae. The record is from RNAcentral.